AUGCUUCAAAGAGUGUCUGGUCCAGGGAGUGUUAGUUGUCAUGAUUGCUGUUACUACAAGACAUUUUCACUUUUUUGUGCUAGUAUUAUGAUAUUACGAUAUUGUAUUGCUGAUAUUUACUUGGCACUUUUGCCAUUUUCUUUUUAUUUUUCUUUUGCUCUCUCUCUCUUUUUAACCUCCUACAAUGAAUCGCAGGGCCCUGCAUGGGCCAGUUCUACUAGGGUGUGGAUGUAGGAUGAGUGGAAGAGGUAAGGGAGAUGAGGGAUGAGUAAGGGAGGCCAGGGAUCCGACACGCGAGGGAAAACGAGAAAGAUAUCCCUUGGAGGUGCAGGGCCAACAAAGAGCCAGACGCAGGCGAACCCAAGCUGGAGCACCCGGGGAUCCGGAUCUGCAGCGGGGACUGGCCCCACCCGGGGUACUUCCCUCCCAG
This 430-nucleotide long non-coding RNA is filed under the name Capra hircus (goat). Its description in RNAcentral is "lncRNA (ENSCHIG00010018155.1)". The record is from RNAcentral. Lineage: Eukaryota; Metazoa; Chordata; Mammalia; Artiodactyla; Bovidae.